Molecule: ribosomal RNA, 301 nt
Filed under: uncultured bacterium
Lineage: Bacteria
Description: partial 16S ribosomal RNA
Rfam family: Bacterial small subunit ribosomal RNA
Source: RNAcentral
CAGUCGCCGCGGUAAUACGUAGGUGGCGAGCGUUGUCCGGAAUCAUUGGGCGUAAAGGGAGCGCAGGCGGGCAUAUAAGUCUUUCUUAAAAGUUCGGGGCUCAACCCCGUGAUGGGAAAGAAACUAUAUGUCUUGAGUACAGGAGAGGAAAGCGGAACUCCCAGUGUAGCGGUGAAAUGCGUAGAUAUUGGGAGGAACACCAGUGGCGAAGGCGGCUUUCUGGACUGCAACUGACGCUGAGGCUCGAAAGCCAGGGGAGCGAACGGGAUUAGAUACCCCAGUAGUCCCUGUCUCUUAUACA